CACCUACGGGAGGCAGCAGUGGGGAAUAUUGCGCAAUGGGCGAAAGCCUGACGCAGCGACGCCGCGUGGACGAUGAAGGCCUUCGGGUUGUAAAGUCCAAUAAGCAGGGAAGAAUAAGUGGAGUAAAACAUGCUUCAUGAUGACGGUACCUGUCUAAAGCCUCGGCUAACUACGUG
This 176-nucleotide ribosomal RNA is filed under the name uncultured bacterium. Its description in RNAcentral is "partial 16S ribosomal RNA". It matches the Rfam family "Bacterial small subunit ribosomal RNA", at positions 335 to 507 of the family's 1533-position model. The record is from RNAcentral.